CUUGGUCAUUUAGAGGAAGUAAAAGUCGUAACAAGGUCUCCGUUGGUGAACCAGCGGAGGGAUCAUUACAGAGUUAUCUAACUCCCAAACCCAUGUGAACUUACCUUUGUUGCCUCGGCAGUAGUUGCUGGGCGAGCCUACCCGGGAAAUCCUGGGACGACUUACCCUGUAACGCCUGCCGGUGGACUACUAAACUCUUGUUAUUUUUAAGUAAUCUGAGCGUCUUAUUUUAAUAAGUCAAAACUUUCAACAACGGAUCUCUUGGUUCUGGCAUCGAUGAAGAACGCAGCGAAAUGCGAUAAGUAAUGUGAAUUGCAGAAUUCAGUGAAUCAUCGAAUCUUUGAACGCACAUUGCGCCCAUUAGUAUUCUAGUGGGCAUGCCUGUUCGAGCGUCAUUUCAACCCUUAAGCCUAGCUUAGUAUUGGGAAUCGACUUUACUGUCGUUCCUCAAAUUCAACGGCGGAUUUAUAGCAAUCUCUGAACGUAGUAAUUUUUUUUCUCGUUUUUGAAAUACUAUAAACCUCAGCCGCUAAACCCCCAAUUUCUUAUGGUUGACCUCGGAUCAGGUAGGAAUACCCGCUGAACUUAAGCAUAUCAAUAAGCGGAGGA
This 609-nucleotide ribosomal RNA is filed under the name uncultured fungus. RNAcentral describes it as "eukaryotic LSU rRNA". The stretch from base 242 to 395 matches the Rfam family "5.8S ribosomal RNA". The record is from RNAcentral. Lineage: Eukaryota; Fungi.